AUUCCAUUGGUCUACCUGUCAAUUUUUGUGCCAAUACCAAGCUGUCUUCAGGACUAUACCGGUUCUUAAAACCCUUCUUUUGUGUAGGAGAAGAAUCAGCACAACACCUUGGGUUAUUCAGUUGACUGCAACUAAGUUUUGUUCUAAGUAAUUUUGGAAAUGACCAGAAACAAAGUUUAAACUCGCUUAGGCAAUGCCAAAGAAGGGUGGUUCUCCUGGUCUCACAGGAAACCUCUGCCUCCUAUCUGUAGAAGGAACAGUUGGAAUUCUCACUUCCAACUCCAGUUUUCCUACUUGGGCUGCAUCUGUGGGAUGAUGGGACUGCUUGUUGCCACCUUCAAGAUAUCACCUAUAAUAGAGAAAAUUUGAGGGCGGUCUUGUGGUGAACUUGUAACAGUGGCCACACCUCCUUCGAUGUGGCCUUGGGCAGACAGAAGGGGAAAGAGGGAAGCUUGAGGCUUGGCUUUCCUUGGUGCUUUCUUUCUGGCGGGUCAGCCCAUCUGGUAGGAAGGGUAGAAAAAUACUCCCAUGGUUCUUUGUGUUUUCUGUGUAAAUGUUCCCCAAUAAACACCCAUUUAUUAUCUAUCUUGGGUCUAGUGAAAUAAUUAAAUCCUCGCUUUCAAGGGCAUGUGGAAUAAAAAUUUCAGGAUGCAUACAUGCAUGUUUAUUUUGGAAAACAGAUGCAAAUGACAACAACCUUACAUCUUUCAUGGCUCAGAAUAAUCCCUGCCUGGCACCCCCAAAGCUCCCCUUACUUGGAUUAGCCUUGGGGUAACCCUCUGCCAUCAUCUUACCUCACACUUAUGGUCUCACUCAGCAUCCUGAGUCAGAAUCCCACAUUUACCUGAUAGCUCAUAGUCAAUUCUGGGUCAGUCACCAAGAUGGAAUUAAAGUAGCAAUAGAUUAAUUGGGGACCGUCUGUGAAGACCAAAGGAAAGGAGACUGGGUGCUCAAAGGGAACUCCAAGAUGCUCCGCUGGUCUGAUUCCUGUGGAAUUAGUGAUGGGGAAAGAUGGGGUGGAAAAGCUAAAGACUGUUGCAUGAGAGUUUUGACCACACCAGUGGAGAGUACCGAGCCAGUGCUGCUCAUAAGGAAAUCCCCAUCAUGGGUAGAAAGAGGCUGAUUGCAAUGGCUGGCUGGAUUCAGCAUAGGCAAAAUAUGACCUUGGCAUUCAUGGAAGUCCGGGCCGAGCCUGCCAGUCAUGUUCACUGCAAGUCCUCUCAAAGAUCCAAGAGUUGCCGGGAGUUGGUGGCGUCCGCCUUUAAUCCCAGCACUAGGGAGGCAGAGACAGGCAAAUCUCUGUGAGUUCAAGGCCAGCCUGGUCACAAGCAUGUAAAACAUAGGGAGGGGGGAGCAGGGAGAAUAAAAGAGCUUGGGGAAUUCCAAGUCUUCAAUGUUGGAAUUGGCUGCCCCUCUGGGUUAAGGUCCAGAAAGGGCCAAAGUAUGUAUCUAGGCUAGGGGUUACUACUUCCUUAGAUAUUGCUGAAAUAUUAUGCUACACAGAAUAGGGAUGUCCUAAGAUAUUUUAUUAAGGGAGAAGUCACUUAUGUGGGAAGCCAAGAAAACCAAGAGCCAAAGGUUCCGAAGCUACUCUCCAGACCGGAAUGCAACCGGAGCCCAAAAGAGAGCAAGUCUCCUCCCCCAAGCUCUUUUAUCCAUACCCUUACAUUCUGCGUCCUAGUGACCACGCCCAAACGCUCUGUAACCGAUUGACAAUAUCAAGGCUUAACAGUACAGAAGGUUAUUUAUUACCUUGUGUGGAGUCCACUGCGAACCUGCGAAUCCCCUGGGCGUUUUCCAGGUGGUGGCUCAGAAAUCUGGGUUUUGCAAGUCAUGAGUCAACAGGUGCCUUGGUACCUGUGCCAGAAGAACACGGAAAGCCAAACUUCAGUUCUUAAGCGUGCCCAGCAGACCAAGACUCACAGUGACUCCAUUCAUGUUUCAGUGGUGAAGGAAGGCAUGUGGCUUCACCUAAUCCCAGAGAAAGAGGAAGGGUACCGUAGACAGGAGAUAUCCUGGGUGUAUUUGCUGAAAAACACAUUCAAAGUCACCGAUUGAGCCGAAGAGAGGCAGAGGAGCCAACAGAGGAAGCCAGGUAGCCUGGGUUCAAGGCUCUCCCUCAGACAUGCUGUAUGCAUCCUGUAUAGUGACUUCUGGCACCAUGCAAGCUGGCCAGCAGGCAGAGAAUUUCCUAGAUUUCAAGCCGUGACACCUAAGAAUACAUCCAUGAUCAGCAUGGCAAGAUAUCCAUAAAAAUGUGGAUACCCAACUUGGUACUUACAUGUUUCUGGUAACCGACAGCUGUCUCGGUGUAAUUAAGGCCCACUUAACAGGAGAGAAACCAUGCUUGGUACUGACAACUUAGUCAACUCUCAUGGGCUAGUGAAGUCAUGGGUCCAAGAGCAGAAUCUGAUGCCACCACUUUGCCAGACAGCACAAUUCAUUAACAACACUGCACAUCUUUUUUAUACCAACGGAGGUGCUUCUUCAGACAAGAAACAAUACAGUUUCAAUUUAGAAGUUGAUUAAUGCAUUGGGACAAGGAACCCUGAUGUACAGCUGCAGAGAGGGAAUGCCUGCCAGGAGAGCCAUUCAUCUGGGAAGUAAUUGCAUAUUUUACUUGGCUUUGGAUUUCUGGAAUGAGAUCUUUGGGAAAGGGCUUUUAAAUUUUACGUAAUUUCCAAAGCAGUGGUGUAGACUGGAUGUUUGCAUGAGUGGAGAUAAAGACAUUUAUCUCAAUGGAGAAUGUAGAGUUGAUGAGACAUUAAUCCCUCCACUCAGCACCUUGUGUCGGGUUUUUCUUUCUGGAGCUGCAGAUGGGGCUGAGCUCUUAUGAGCAGUUACCAAGAAGAGGCUGCAGCCAGCAGUGCCUGGAAGCGCGCUGUUGGCCCUGGCGGGAUGUUGGGAUCCUUCUGGGAAAGUCUCUUAGCUACUUUUUCUGUCUUGCAGCAGGUGAGUCCUGUGAAGGGAACUUACCCUGGCUCCCUUAGUCUCCUAUAUCAAUGUCAAUGUCACAUGACAGAUCUGUGAAGUCACCAGUCUUGUGGAAACCUGCUCAGUCGUCACACCUCUCUCUCUAGUAGCUCCUUUCUCGAGUCUUUAUUUCCUUUGGAAUAUUUCUUUAUUAAUUUUUUUGAGAUUGUAAUAUAGCUAUACCAUUUCCAUUUUCCCUCCCCUUUCCCCAUGUACCUCCUUGCUCUUACGCCAGGUCUUGAUAGAUGCAAGAGUGGCCUGUGAUAGAGAUUUGCAGAAACAAUGCCCAGACAUGGCCAGGUUGCUUUUACUUUAUUCCAUUCCAGACAGCAGACCAGUGAUCCAAAGAAUGUUACUGAGAUAUAGGACAUGUGAUCAUGCAGAGCGUGGUUUCUAGAGACCCUCUUGUUUCCUUGCCACAUUGAAGGACCCAGUCAGGCCAGGAGAUCCCAAAACUUCUUGAUAACUUCAUCAUUUAAAGAGUAGAUGAAAAUCUCACAGACUGGCCAGUGUCAACUGGACCUGACCAUCAGGUUCAUAGUUUGCUAUAACAUCAGAGUUACAGAAUCAAGAGUCUUUGUCCUCCAAACUAAGCAAUAGAAGAGAGACUACCUUAAUAGCCCUUCCCUGAUGAUAAGAUUGAUGACUACCUUAUAUGCCAUCCUAGAACCUUCAUCCAGUGACUGAUGGAAGCAGAGGCA
This is a long non-coding RNA of Mesocricetus auratus (golden hamster), 3674 nucleotides long. RefSeq lists it as uncharacterized. Lineage: Eukaryota; Metazoa; Chordata; Mammalia; Rodentia; Cricetidae. The record is from RefSeq and is a predicted model, not a curated record. The transcript has 5 exons.